AAUUGCUUGUAGUCACCUUCACAAUGUUAUUGAAGUUCGAGCUGGGAUCUGAAUUCUGACUGAAGUUUGCGAAGGGUUUGGGAAAACGUGAGACUCACAAGAUUCGAAUACCCCCAGACACAAAGACCCCUUUCUGCAAUCUAUUUUUGAAUUCCAAGACACUGUGGUACAAGGAGGAAAAAGCCCUUCCAGCAGCCACUUGACAGAAGCAAUAAUAAAACACAAAGGGGGCACUGACUGAAUUAAUAUAUUAAAGGCAAAGGCUCAAAGUCUUCUGCUGAAAGGUGUUUUGUAGCAUUGCAG
RNAcentral lists this long non-coding RNA (303 nucleotides) under Gopherus agassizii (Agassiz's desert tortoise). RNAcentral's name for it is "lncRNA (ENSGAGG00000015344.1)". Lineage: Eukaryota; Metazoa; Chordata; Testudines; Testudinidae. The record is from RNAcentral.